RNAcentral lists this long non-coding RNA (201 nucleotides) under Olea europaea (common olive). RNAcentral's name for it is "long non-coding RNA (OEUR_LNC001510)". Lineage: Eukaryota; Viridiplantae; Streptophyta; Magnoliopsida; Lamiales; Oleaceae. The record is from RNAcentral.
GGUUCGACCGACAAGAUUGGUAUUGUGCAGUAUCGACUUUGGAAGGAGCGUUGUAUCUUGGGAGAUAGACGUCCAUAAUCCCGUUUGCACUUCAUUGGGGGGCGAAAUCUGUUUUAAGGAAAUUUGCUUUGGCAUACCUCGCUUCAUCUACUUUUCUAUUUUUUUUCUGCUUAUUUUAUUUGUUCUUUUGAUUGCGUUAGU